AUACAUGCAAGUCGAGCGAAUGGAUUAAGAGCUUGCUCUUAUGAAGUUAGCGGCGGACGGGUGAGUAACACGUGGGUAACCUGCCCAUAAGACUGGGAUAACUCCGGGAAACCGGGGCUAAUACCGGAUAACAUUUUGAACCGCAUGGUUCGAAAUUGAAAGGCGGCUUCGGCUGUCACUUAUGGAUGGACCCGCGUCGCAUUAGCUAGUUGGUGAGGUAACGGCUCACCAAGGCAACGAUGCGUAGCCGACCUGAGAGGGUGAUCGGCCACACUGGGACUGAGACACGGCCCAGACUCCUACGGGAGGCAGCAGUAGGGAAUCUUCCGCAAUGGACGAAAGUCUGACGGAGCAACGCCGCGUGAGUGAUGAAGGCUUUCGGGUCGUAAAACUCUGUUGUUAGGGAAGAACAAGUGCUAGUUGAAUAAGCUGGCACCUUGACGGUACCUAACCAGAAAGCCACGGCUAACUACGUGCCAGCAGCCGCGGUAAUACGUAGGUGGCAAGCGUUAUCCGGAAUUAUUGGGCGUAAAGCGCGCGCAGGUGGUUUCUUAAGUCUGAUGUGAAAGCCCACGGCUCAACCGUGGAGGGUCAUUGGAAACUGGGAGACUUGAGUGCAGAAGAGGAAAGUGGAAUUCCAUGUGUAGCGGUGAAAUGCGUAGAGAUAUGGAGGAACACCAGUGGCGAAGGCGACUUUCUGGUCUGUAACUGACACUGAGGCGCGAAAGCGUGGGGAGCAAACAGGAUUAGUCCGGUGUUUU
Molecule: ribosomal RNA, 761 nt
Filed under: Bacillus subtilis
Lineage: Bacteria; Bacillati; Bacillota; Bacilli; Caryophanales; Bacillaceae
Description: bacterial SSU rRNA
Rfam family: Bacterial small subunit ribosomal RNA
Source: RNAcentral